GAUGAAGAACGUAGCGAAAUGCGAUAACUAGUGUGAAUUGCAGAAUUCCGUGAAUCAUCGAGUCUUUGAACGCACAUUGCGCCCCCUGGUAUUCCGGGGGGCAUGCCUGUCCGAGCGUCAUUGCUGCCCAUCAAGCACGGCUUGUGUGUUGGGUCGUCGUCCCCCCCUCCGGGGGGGACGGGCCCUAAAGGCAGCGGCGGCACCGCGUCCGAUCCUCGAGCGUAUGGGGCUUUGUCACCCGCUCUGUAGGCCCGGCCGGCGCUUGCCGAACGCAAAACAACCAUUCUUUCCAGGUUGACCUCGGAUCAGGUAGGGAUACCCGCUGAACUUAAGCAUAUCAAUAAGCGGAGGA
This 352-nucleotide unclassified non-coding RNA is filed under the name soil metagenome. Its description in RNAcentral is "partial contains 5.8S ribosomal RNA, internal transcribed spacer 2, and large subunit ribosomal RNA". The stretch from base 1 to 120 matches the Rfam family "5.8S ribosomal RNA", at positions 35 to 154 of the family's 154-position model. The record is from RNAcentral.